RNAcentral lists this long non-coding RNA (3421 nucleotides) under Pan troglodytes (chimpanzee). RNAcentral's name for it is "lncRNA (ENSPTRG00000054143.1)". The record is from RNAcentral. Lineage: Eukaryota; Metazoa; Chordata; Mammalia; Primates; Hominidae.
AUGUCAUCCCUGAGGAUUGAGAACCUGGCCCCUGAGGACAGCGGGCAGUAUUUUGCCAACAUCACCUCUACUAAGGGAGAGGGGAUUUUCCAGGUUUUCUACCUCACUGUCUAUGAGCCUGUGCCUCACCCUGAGUUCCUGGCAAAGUCACUGUCUAUCACACCAGACCUGUGUAACGUCACCCUGGAGUGUAGGGCUCCAGGGGCCACAGAAGACCUGAAUGUGACUUGGGAGAGCAAGGGCCUCCUCAGAGAGCUGGAGCAGAGAGAAACACCAGGACCAGCCCCCAACCCCUGGACACUGGCUGUGAACCUGCCCCUGUGCCAGUGCAACACCCACCUCACCUGUGUGGUCAGCAACCAGGUGGAUCAGAAAGCUGCAAUCUUAGACCUUAGGAAAGUCUGUGUCCAAGAAACAGGUUCACACAACAUGGUUAGACUGCUCCCAGGCAUCCUAGGGGCUGUUGUGGGUAUGCUGUUGGUCCUGGGAACUGGGCUGUAUCUUUUGAAGACAUGUGGGAAGAAGAAGAAGAUGAUGAAUAUAGGAAGAGGCAAGGUGAAUUUCCCCUUCCAUACCCAGACACCUCCACUCCCUCACUAGAACCCCAGCUUCCUUUCUCCUGAAUUUUUCUUCCAGGGAGUGGACUCUGCAGAGGGAUGGUGGGUGUGACCUUGGCCUUGCGGUUCGUGGCAGUGGGGAGGGAUACAGGUUUCUAUGGCACAGAUUCAAGCUUUGAUUUUCUCAGGUAGAGAAUGGCAGGAGAACCAUGGGGUCGAUGAUGGUGUCAACCAAUAUGAAGAUCUCAGGCAGCAAGUGUUUCCGAAGGGCAAGGACAAGGUAAGGGCUGGGGCACUGCCCACUCUGGCAACUCCCAGGUCUCUCUGUCCAGCCUUGGGCUUCUAAUUCCAGGACCUGCCAUUUCUGACCACACCGCCUAUUUAUCUGUAUCUGGACAAUCAACAGCAUUUACUAAGAAAUUUGCAUCUGGGUGUGAGGUAGUGCUGGGCACUUUAGAGGAAUUCAUGAGCAGUGCAUGGCAGUGGGUAUUGGCCCUGUGGGUCCCUCCACAUCGUUUCUAUCCCUCAGCUGAUCCAACAACCCUCUGUCUUGUAUUCCAGGGCAUCGGUGAACAAUAUCUGGAAAAAAGGGAGUCUCUCACUCCUAUCUACAGUGAGGUUCAUUAUCAUUGUCCAGGCCAGGCCAUUAAGAUCAUUCAAUUGGAGGAAGCAACAGGAUCUGGCACUCCCAGGACACCUGUACUCUGAGCCUGAAGCCUGCAGAUCCCCGCCUUUCCCAGUGCUGGUUCAGUUUCCGCUGCCCCUAGUCUGUGUUACUCUGAUCUCAUAGCCACAGUUCUACAGUGUACACAUGGCCUAUUCGCAUUCUGUGACACCUCCCAAAGAUGCAUUUACACUUGGGCAAAGAUUCUUCCCUUGUCAUUGACAUUGCUCCUGACCCCUCUCUUUCAGAAGCCUUCCCAAGGGGACCCUGUCUGAUUGCACAGGUGGCAAAUCCCCACCACCUCUGCCAUGUCACUUGUGUGUGUAAUUCUGAGGACACAAGCCCAGACAUGGGAACUGUGCAGAGGUGUUGACUGUGCUGCAGAGGAGGGACAUAGACCUGGCUUCUGGAUGCUCAGUUGGAGGAUAUCGUGGGUGGGUAGAAGCCCACAAAGGAACACGCUGAGGCUUCCUUUGCAGAUUUUGUGUAGGGCUCCCUUGCGGGUACCAGGCAGUGCGUGUGUGCAUGCAGGUUGGUGGUGGAGGGGGGUGUCUAGUGCACAUUAUACAACUGAACCAAAGCCACCUUUCUUUUCUUCUGUGCUAAUCUGAACUUAAUCUUCAGCCUCAGCCUGUGGAUCCAAACUCAACUUCCUGUAGAGUGGAAAGAGAAAUUUUUAUCAUCUCAAAACCUUCCUAGCCUCGGUGUCUCAGAGAAUGACCCUAAGAGGCCACAGUUGGAGGCUGUCUUAGGAACACAGCCUCAGCUCUUUCCUUGGCCUAGUAUAAGGCACUUGGCUGUAAGAACAGAAGUGUGAUAUCCUUCCACACCCACUUGAUGAGGGCUACUUGCGCUCUGAUGGGUGAAGCUGUUGAGAAGGUCUGACUCAGCCCUCUCCGACCUCUUCUUAUUCUGACCCUUAAUACCCCAGUAGCCAUGCUGGCCCCAAACCCUAGGUCAUCCACUUCUUUGCUCACUUGCAUCCCUCUGCCUGACAUGAAAGUUCCUUCUCCCUGUUCCUCACCCUCACUCCCGCCUGUUGAAAUACUACUGUGCUGCUCAAAGCUCUUCCCAAGAUGCUUGUUCCAUGGAGCUCUCUGGAUCUUAAAGGUUUAGACAUGAUCUCUCCCACAACUGACUUUUCUGAACACCUUGGACACUAUGUACGGUCCCUGCCACAGUUUGUCCUGGGAUGGUCAUGAGUCUUCCUGCAGGACUAACCUGGGCUCUCUCAGGAGGAUGUGGGGCUGUGGGGUAAUAGGGCUGAGGAGACAAGUACUUAUUGGUGCAAAUGGUCUGGGCCACCUUGUUCCCAACCCAUGGGGUCAGCAGAGGGAGAUGCAGCACAGGGGCUACUGACGAACUCUCUGGUGUGGCUCUACCUGGAAACAGGGAUGGACACAAUGACCUCCCUUGACUAUGCGUGGCCUGAGUUCCUAAUUGGAGACUUCCUUACUCCCUCAUCCACCUCUUAUUGCGAACCUGGCCAUUCUUCCAUCAUGGUAUGUGGGUGUUUCUUUCCUCCUGAGGGGUCCUCAGCUUCUUGCAGCCUCUGCUUCUUAUUUGAGUCCCAGCUUUUAUGCAGAGAUGAGCUAACUCUAGUACCAUGAGCUGCUGUGGCAUGUCUGGUGGCCUAGAUCCUUGGGCCUCUUAGUUUCCCUCAUGGCUCAGGUGAGCUCAUUUCCUCAUUGCCACCCACAGAAAACAAAGAUCUGAACAGAGCCCCUGCUAAGAGAUGGAGCACUAGAAAAUAGUGCUAGGUGCCUGCUGGAUGGUGGGUGGGUGAGGCAGGAGGGAGAGGAUCCAUAGCAGGGCUUCAUUUCUGCCGUCUUCCCCUUUAGGCUGAGCUGAAGGCCGAGGGUGUGCCAGUCUCUUCACUGGCUUCCCAGGUGACUGGACAUUACUGGGUAUCAGUGAACAUUAACCCUGGGGCAGCAUAAGAUGUGAUCACCCAACUAACUGACCUUCCCACUGCACCAAAGGCAACAAAAAUCCAAACCAAACAAACAAAAAAGAGGAACAAGGCUUUUGAGGCUGUUUUGAACCAGUUUUUGUCCCAGGCACUUUGCACAUAUUAUUCUUUUUAAUUCUUCUUUAAAUACAUUUUUAAUUUUAAGAUACUAAAUGUUUUACUCUUCUUGUUUAUGAUUUCUUCCAAUGAUAUCAAACUUAAAAUUCCUCUGCAUUCAAAGGACCCAAU